AGUGGCGGACUGGUGAGUAACACGUAGGUGACCUGCCCCAAAGAGGAGAAUAACUUGACGAAAGUGAAGCUAAUACUCCAUGUGGUCAAUCAUUCGGUUGAUUGAUUAAAGCUAAGGCGCUUUGGGAGGGGCUUGCGGCCCAUCAGCUAGUUGGUAGGGUAAAGGCCUACCAAGGCGAAGACGGGUAGCUGGUCUGAGAGGACGAUCAGCCACAAUGGCACUGAAACACGGGCCAUACUCCUACGGGAGGCAGCAGUGAGGAAUAUUGCACAAUCGACGCAAGUCGGAUGCAGCAACGCCGCGUGGACGAUGAAGGCCUUCGGGUUGUAAAGUCCUUUUAAGAGGGACGAGGAAGGACGGUACCUCUUGAAUAAGUCUCGGCUAACUACGUGCCAGCAGCCGCGGUAACACGUAGGAGGCGAGCGUUAUCCGGAUUUAUUGGGCGUAAAGCGCAUGCAGGUGGCUAGGUAAGUCGGGUGUGAAAGCCCCGGACUUAAUCCGGGGAGGUCAUUCGAUACUGCUUGGCUUGAGAGCGGGAGAGGGAAGUGGAAUUCUCGGUGUAGUGGUGAUAUGCGUAGAUAUCGAGAGGAACACCAGUGGCGAAGGCGGCUUCCUGGCCCGUAUCUGACACUAAGAUGCGAAAGCGUGGGUAGCAAACGGACUUAGAUACUCCGGUAGUCCACGCUGUAAACGAUGGGUACUAGGUGUAGGGGGUGUAAAACUCUCUGUGCCAUAGUUAACGCACUAAGUACCCCGCCUGGGGACUACGGUCGCAAGGCUAAAACUCAAAGGAAUUGAACGGGGGCCCGCACAAGCAGCGGAGCGUGUGGUUCAAUUCGAAGAUACACGAAGAACCUUACCUGGGCUUGACAUGUUGGUAGUUAGUGAAGCGAAAGCGGGACGAUCCUUCGGGAAGCCAUCACAGGUGCUGCAUGGCUGUCGUCAGCUCGUGCCGUGAGGUGUUGGGUUAAGUCCUGUAACGAGCGCAACCCUUGCUGCCAGU
This 1003-nucleotide ribosomal RNA is filed under the name uncultured organism. RNAcentral's name for it is "bacterial SSU rRNA". It matches the Rfam family "Bacterial small subunit ribosomal RNA", at positions 94 to 1115 of the family's 1533-position model. The record is from RNAcentral.